GACGAGGGAUCCUAGCGUUGCUCGGAAUCAUUGGGCGUAAAGCGGGUGUAGGUGGCUUUGUAAGUCGGGGGUGAAAGCCUGUGGCUCAACCACAGAAUUGCCUUCGAUACUGCAUGGCUUGAGACCGGAAGAGGUAAGUGGAACUGCGAGUGUAGAGGUGAAAUUCGUAGAUAUUCGCAAGAACACCAGUGGCGAAGGCGGCUUACUGGUCCGGUUCUGACGCUGAGGCGCGAAAGCGUGGGGAGCAAACAGG
This 253-nucleotide ribosomal RNA is filed under the name uncultured bacterium. RNAcentral's name for it is "partial 16S ribosomal RNA". It matches the Rfam family "Bacterial small subunit ribosomal RNA", at positions 524 to 776 of the family's 1533-position model. The record is from RNAcentral.